UACAGAGGUCUCAAGCGUUGUUCGGAUUCAUUGGGCGUAAAGGGUGUGUAGGUGGCGCCGUAAGUCGGGUGUGAAAUUUCGGAGCUUAACUCCGAAACUGCAUUCGAUACUGCGGUGCUUGAGGACUGGAGAGGAGACUGGAAUUCAUGGUGUAGCAGUGAAAUGCGUAGAGAUCAUGAGGAAGACCAGUGGCGAAGGCGGGUCUCUGGGCCUUACCUGACGCUCAGGUGCGAAAGCUAGGGGAGCGAACAGG
This 253-nucleotide ribosomal RNA is filed under the name uncultured bacterium. RNAcentral describes it as "partial 16S ribosomal RNA". It matches the Rfam family "Bacterial small subunit ribosomal RNA", at positions 524 to 776 of the family's 1533-position model. The record is from RNAcentral.